This 120-nucleotide ribosomal RNA is filed under the name uncultured bacterium. Its description in RNAcentral is "partial 16S ribosomal RNA". It matches the Rfam family "Bacterial small subunit ribosomal RNA", at positions 30 to 143 of the family's 1533-position model. The record is from RNAcentral.
AUUGAACGCUAGCGGGAUGCUUUACACAUGCAAGUCGAACGGCAGCACGAAGAGCUUGCUCUUUGGUGGCGAGUGGCGAACGGGUGAGUAAUAUAUCGGAACGUGCCCAGUAGCGGGGGA